UAGCAACUUUAGUAUAUCUAAUUUAUUUUAAUAAUUUUGAGUAUUUUAAUAGAAAGGUCAAAUAAUUUUUAUUGAAUUUAUUAAGACGUGUACUUUGCUUAUGUGUAUCUGCCUUUUAGUUAUAAUAUAAUAUUUUUAAUAUGUUAAGAGAAUAUAAUAUUUAUUUUGGUUGUUUUUUUUCAUUGAUUUAUUUUAAUUUUUAUAUUUUACAUUUAUAUUUCUUUUAUCAAAUAAUUAAAAAUAUGUAUCACAGUUGAUUGCAGCUUGGUUAUUUUUUACUUUUUUUUUUUGAAAACUUUGAGUAUUUUGCAGAAAGGUCAAAUAUAAAUUUUAUUGAAUUAUUUAGACGUGUUUGUAUGUGUGUGUUUGAGGUUCUUUUAGUUAUAAUGUAUAUUUAAUAUGUAGAGAAAACAUAAUUUUUAUUUUAUUUUAUUUUCUCAUUUAUUUUACUUUGAUUUUUAUAUAUGUUAUACCUUUCAAUUGAAUGAUUAAAAAUACGUGUCAUGUUUAAUUGUAACUUGGAAUUUUUUUUAUUUUUUUCACAACUUGAUAAUUUUUUAAAAAGCCAAAAUAAUUUUUGGUAGAAGUUACAUAGACGAGUAUAUUACUUAAUUAGACGUAUAAUGGUAAGUAGAUUAUGGAAUAAUCACAAUAUUGUACGUAAUAAUAAAAUAUGAGCAUAUUUUUCAACAUAAAAUAAAAUAUUUUUAAUUAAAUAAUAUAUAUUAAGUUCAUGUGUACCUACAACUAACAAAAAUAAUCUUAAUUAAUAUUUUAUUUGAAAAAUUCUAUUAAUCUAAUUAAAUUUUAAAUAAAAUACAAUAAAUUAAUCAUAAUUUAUUUUAAAUAAACUAAUAUGAAAUAAUUGUAAAAGCCAGAACAGUAAUAUCAAGUUCAGAGUUGCAGUUGGGUGCUUUCUCCUCCCACGUCUCAUCUCCUCCCACGUUCUGGUAACAAUCCCUUCUAUAUACGUAUAUUGUGAUUUGGGCUAAAGCUGCAGAUGUGAAGAAUAAUGUAAGUGAAGCGUGGGAGAGAAGUAACUGAAGUUGUUUGGGAGGGCAAUGACUUAGAGGGUAAAGGCUAAUAGUAAUACAGUGAAGAAGGAUACAAUGUUGAAGGCUGGCAAUAGUGAAGUGACGACUAAUACUAGGCCACCCGCACCUAAGAAGUCGCCUGCAGUUGGAUUGGUUGCUCCAUCAAAUCCAGUGAGUAAAGCAGGAAAUAAAGGAGCGAAGGACCCUAAGCAGCACCAUAUCCUAUCAUUUUUCAAGAAGGUUUAAUAAGCUACAAAAUGAAGAUUUUUCUGCCUUUUGCUAAAUUCAGGUCUUCAGAACAAUCUAUUUUUUAAGUGUCUUUCUCUGUUGUAUUUAAAGGUGCUUAUCAGUGUCUAGGAUUAUUGUUUUUGUAUCCCAUUAAGGAUGAUGUAAACUUUGAUGUUAAUUAAGAAUUCUUCUAUUGU
This is a long non-coding RNA of Daucus carota subsp. sativus, 1459 nucleotides long. RefSeq lists it as uncharacterized. The record is from RefSeq and is a predicted model, not a curated record. The transcript has 3 exons. NCBI's taxonomy places the organism in Eukaryota, Viridiplantae, Streptophyta, Magnoliopsida, Apiales, Apiaceae.